GACGAACGUUGGCGGCGUGCUUAACACAUGCAAGUCGAACGGUGAACCUCUUCGGAGGGGAUCAGUGGCGAACGGGUGAGUAACACGUGGGCAACCUGCCCCCGGCUCUGGGAUAACUCCAAGAAAUUGGGGCUAAUACCGGAUGUUCACCGCUUCCCGCAUGGGUGGUGGUGGAAAGGGUUUCCGGCUGGGGAUGGGCCCGCGGCCUAUCAGCUUGUUGGUGGGGUAGUGGCCUACCAAGGCGACGACGGGUAGCCGGCCUGAGAGGGUGACCGGCCACACUGGGACUGAGACACGGCCCAGACUCCUACGGGAGGCAGCAGUGGGGAAUAUUGCGCAAUGGGCGGAAGCCUGACGCAGCGACGCCGCGUGGGGGAUGACGGCCUUCGGGUUGUAAACCUCUUUCAGCAGGGACGAAGCGCAAGUGACGGUACCUGCAGAAGAAGCACCGGCCAACUACGUG
RNAcentral lists this ribosomal RNA (463 nucleotides) under uncultured bacterium. RNAcentral describes it as "partial 16S ribosomal RNA". It matches the Rfam family "Bacterial small subunit ribosomal RNA", at positions 28 to 507 of the family's 1533-position model. The record is from RNAcentral.